AACGAACGCUGGCGGCGCGCCUAACACAUGCAAGUCGAACGAGAAUCCGGGGCAACCCGGUAGUAAAGUGGCAAACGGGUGAGGAAUACAUGGGUAACCUACCCUUGAGAAGGGAAUAACCCGCCGAAAGGUGAGCUAAUACCCUAUACGCUAUCUUUUUUUCGAAAAGGAUAGGAAAGCCGGGUCGAGGACCUGGUACUCAAGGAGGGGCUCAUGUCCUAUCAGCUUGUUGGUGGGGUAACGGCCUACCAAGGCUACGACGGGUAGCUGGUCUGAGAGGAUGAUCAGCCACACUGGCACUGAGAUACGGGGCCAGACUCCUACGGGAGGCAGCAGUGAGGAAUAUUGCGCAAUGGGCGAAAGCCUGACGCAGCGACGCCGCGUGGGGGAUGAAGGUUUUCGGAUUGUAAACCCUUUCAUGAGGAAAGAUAAAGUGGGUAACCACUUAGACGGUACCUCAAGAAGAAGCCACGGCUAACUUCGUG
RNAcentral lists this ribosomal RNA (485 nucleotides) under uncultured bacterium. RNAcentral describes it as "bacterial SSU rRNA". It matches the Rfam family "Bacterial small subunit ribosomal RNA", at positions 29 to 507 of the family's 1533-position model. The record is from RNAcentral.